UUCUAAGUAGUUUAAUUAAAAUGGUGAUUUGUGGUGUCAUUGAUGUAUUUUAUACCUUGGAUA
RNAcentral lists this transfer RNA (63 nucleotides) under Atrocalopteryx atrata. RNAcentral describes it as "tRNA-His". Lineage: Eukaryota; Metazoa; Arthropoda; Insecta; Odonata; Calopterygidae. The record is from RNAcentral.